UCAUAGAAUUUUUUCAAAUUCAUGAUGUCGUAAGGGAAAAUAAUGAUAAUACCUUACUAUGAGUGUCGUCCAAAUCUGGUGCCAGAAGACUCGGUAAGACCAGAGACGCAAACGUUAAUCCUCAUAAACAGGCGUAAAGGGUUUGUAGGCAGCUUUUACAAGGUUAUGAUUGCAAAAUCAAGGUUAAUCUAAAUUGAAAGCUAGAAUCAAAAAGAGGUUAUAGUGUAUAACGCCUAGAGGAGGGCUGAUAUCCGUAGAUCCUAGGCAGAAUACUCAGGGCGAAGGCCACUCUCCACUAAUGAUUGACGCUGAGAAACGAAGGUUAGGGUAGGAAAUAGGAUUAGAUACCCCGGUACUCCUUUCUGUAAACGAUGAAUGGUAGUCAUUAGUUAAAAUAACUAGAGGCGAAGUUAACACGAUAACCAUUCCGCCUUGUGAGUACUACUGCAAAGUAGAAAACAAAAAAAUUAGUCGGUCUCGAAGCAAACGGAGUGAAGCAUGUUAUUUA
Molecule: ribosomal RNA, 508 nt
Filed under: Lentinus flexipes
Lineage: Eukaryota; Fungi; Basidiomycota; Agaricomycetes; Polyporales; Polyporaceae
Description: SSU rRNA
Rfam family: Bacterial small subunit ribosomal RNA
Source: RNAcentral